GAGUUUGAUCCUGGCUCAGGAUGAACGCUAGCGGCAGGCUUAAUACAUGCAAGUCGAGGGGCAGCAGCUUUAUAGCAAUAUAGAGGCUGGCGACCGGCAAACGGGUGCGGAACACGUACACAACCUUCCUUGAAUAGGGGGAUAGCCCAUAGAAAUGUGGAUUAAUACCCCGUAAUAUAGCGGUGUGGCAUCACACUGUUAUUAUAGUUUCGGCGAUUCGAGAUGGGUGUGCGGCUGAUUAGGUAGUUGGCGGGGUAAAGGCCCACCAAGCCUUCGAUCAGUAGCUGAUGUGAGAGCAUGAUCAGCCACACGGGCACUGAGACACGGGCCCGACUCCUACGGGAGGCAGCAGUAAGGAAUAUUGGUCAAUGGACGCAAGUCUGAACCAGCCAUGCCGCGUGAAGGAUGAAGGUCCUCUGGAUUGUAAACUUCUUUUAUAGGGGGCGAAAAAAGGUCUUUCUAGAUCACUUGACAGUACCCUAUGAAUAAGCACCGGCUAGCUCCGUGCCAGCAGCCGCGGUAAUACGGAGGGUGCAAGCGUUAUCCGGAUUCACUGGGUUUAAAGGGUGCGUAGGCGGGUAGGUAAGUCAGAGGUGAWAUCCUGGAGCUUAACUCCAGAACUGCCUUUGAUACUAUCUAUCUUGAAUAUGGUGGAGGUAAGCGGAAUAUGUCAUGUAGCGGUGAAUGCAUAGAUAUGACAUAAACACCUAUUGCGAAGCASCUUACUACUYCUAUAUUGACSCUGAGCACGAAGCKUGGGGAUCAAACGGAUU
RNAcentral lists this ribosomal RNA (773 nucleotides) under uncultured Bacteroidota bacterium. Its description in RNAcentral is "bacterial SSU rRNA". The record is from RNAcentral. Lineage: Bacteria; Pseudomonadati; Bacteroidota.